This is a long non-coding RNA of Acipenser ruthenus (sterlet), 521 nucleotides long. RefSeq lists it as uncharacterized. The record is from RefSeq and is a predicted model, not a curated record. The transcript is spliced from 4 exons. NCBI's taxonomy places the organism in Eukaryota, Metazoa, Chordata, Actinopteri, Acipenseriformes, Acipenseridae.
CAUGAAAUUUACAUCUUUAUUCUCAUAAUCAUGGAUAUUUUCUUUUACGAACAUUUCAUUUAUAGGUUGUGGAUUGUGAAGACGUCCAAUUUGAAGAUCUGACGUUUUCUGAAAGUCUCUGUGAGAUUGCUCCUGAUCGACCAAAGGGAGCUGAAGCUGCUUCUGCAGUACCCAACCAGAUGCUACAGCCUCAACCUUCCAGCAGUGCAACAGAACUGGAUAUUAAUUCUCUUUACAUGCCUAGGCUUCCCUAUGUAGGUGAAGAGCAAAUUAAAGUCUAUGAAGACUAUGUGAUUGGUAGUGGUAACUUUGGAACUGUGUACAGGGGAUCCUACCAGGGGACAGUUGCUGCCAUUAAAAAAAUCCCCAUUCAAGGAUCUCUGAAUGACAUAACACAUGAGAUUCUCGUCUGCACGUGAGUAUGGCCUCCUAUUUCUUUUCUCAUAAGGCUUUGUUUAAUUAUUUUUACCCUGCCUACAGGAGACUGUAGGAUGUAGUAUUAAGUUAUUAGUAUUAGUAAA